UAAUACGUAGGGUGCAAGCGUUAAUCGGAAUUACUGGGCGUAAAGCGUGCGCAGGCGGCUUUGCAAGACAGAUGUGAAAUCCCCGGGCUUAACCUGGGAACUGCAUUUGUGACUGCAUGGCUGGAGUGCGGCAGAGGGGGAUGGAAUUCCGCGUGUAGCAGUGAAAUGCGUAGAUAUGCGGAGGAACACCGAUGGCGAAGGCAAUCCCCUGGGCCUGCACUGACGCUCAUGCACGAAAGCGUGGGGAGCAAACAGGAUUAGAUACCCUGGUAGUCCACGCCCUAAACGAUGUCGACUAGUUGUCGGAGGGUAACUCCUUCGGUAACGCAGCUAACGCGUGAAGUCGACCGCCUGGGGAGUACGGUCGCAAGAUUA
Molecule: ribosomal RNA, 375 nt
Filed under: uncultured bacterium
Lineage: Bacteria
Description: bacterial SSU rRNA
Rfam family: Bacterial small subunit ribosomal RNA
Source: RNAcentral